Molecule: ribosomal RNA, 454 nt
Filed under: uncultured bacterium
Lineage: Bacteria
Description: partial 16S ribosomal RNA
Rfam family: Bacterial small subunit ribosomal RNA
Source: RNAcentral
GAUGAACGCUGACAGAAUGCUUAACACAUGCAAGUCGACCGGAACUUCGGUUUGGGUGGCGGACGGGUGAGUAACGCGGACAGAACUUGCCUCACAGUUAGGGACGACAUUUGGAAACGAAUGCUAAUACGUGAUAUUAUGAUGUAAGGGCAUCCUAGGAGUAUGAAAGCUAUAUGUGCUGUGAGAGAGCUUUGCGUCCCCUUAGCUAGUUGGAGAGGUAACGGCUCACCAAGGCGACGAUGGGUAGCCGGCCUGAGAGGGUGAACGGCCACAAGGGGACUGGGACGCGGCCCUUACUCCUUCUUGCGGCAGGGGUGGGGACUUUAGGACACUAGACCGCGUGUCUGAUGCAGCUAUUCUGUGUGCACGAUGACGUUUUUCGGGAUGUAAAGUGGUUUCAGUUGGUAAGAAAAAAAUGACGGCACCAACAGAAGAAGUAACGGCUAACUACGUG